RNAcentral lists this ribosomal RNA (292 nucleotides) under uncultured Pseudomonadota bacterium. Its description in RNAcentral is "uncultured proteobacterium partial 16S ribosomal RNA". It matches the Rfam family "Bacterial small subunit ribosomal RNA", at positions 159 to 453 of the family's 1533-position model. The record is from RNAcentral. Lineage: Bacteria; Pseudomonadati; Pseudomonadota.
UGUGCUAAUACCGCAUAGUCUCUCAGGAGAAAAGCAGGGGAUCGCAAGACCUUGCGCUUUAGGAGCGGCCGAUGCCUGAUUAGCUUGUUGGUAAGGUAAAAGCUUACCAAGGCUUCGAUCAGUAGCUGGUCUGAGAGGACGACCAGCCACACUGGGACUGAGACACGGCCCAGACUCCUACGGGAGGCAGCAGUGGGGAAUUUUGGACAAUGGGGGAAACCCUGAUCCAGCCAUGCCGCGUGAGUGAAGAAGGCCUUCGGGUUGUAAAGCUCUUUCAGCCGGAACGAAACGG